This 342-nucleotide ribosomal RNA is filed under the name uncultured bacterium. Its description in RNAcentral is "bacterial SSU rRNA". It matches the Rfam family "Bacterial small subunit ribosomal RNA", at positions 28 to 371 of the family's 1533-position model. The record is from RNAcentral.
GACGAACGCUGGCGGCGUGCUUAACACAUGCAAGUCGAGCGGUAAGGCCCUUUCGGGGUACGACGAGCGGCGAACGGGUGAGUAACACGUGGGUGACCUGCCCUCAGCUCUGGGAGUAAGCCUGGGAAACCGGGUCUAAUACUGGAUAUGACUCCAUGACGCAUGUUGUGGGGUGGAAAGCCUUGUGCGGCUGAGGAUGGGCCCGCGGCCUAUCAGCUUGUUGGUGGGGUGAGGCCUACCAAGGCGACGACGGGUAGCCGGCCUGAGAGGGCGACCGGCCACACUGGGACUGAGACACGGCCCAGACUCCUACGGGAGGCAGCAGUGGGGAAUCUUGCGCAA